CGCGCAGGCGGUUCUUUAAGUCUGGUGUCUAAGUGCGGGGCUCAACCCCGUGAUGCACUGGAAACUGGGGAACUUGAGUGCAGAAGAGGAGAGCGGAAUUCCACGUGUAGCGGUGAAAUGCGUAGAGAUGUGGAGGAACACCAGUGGCGAAGGCGGCUCUCUGGACUGUAACUGACGCUGAGGCGCGAAAGCGUGGGGAGCAAACAGGAUUAGAUACCCUGGUAGUCCACGCUGUAAACGAUGAGUGCUAGGUGUUGGGGGUAUCAUGCCCUCGGUGCCGAAGUUAACACAUUAAGCACUCCGCCUGGGGAGUACGGUCGCAAGACUGAA
RNAcentral lists this ribosomal RNA (330 nucleotides) under uncultured Cohnella sp. Its description in RNAcentral is "bacterial SSU rRNA". It matches the Rfam family "Bacterial small subunit ribosomal RNA", at positions 568 to 898 of the family's 1533-position model. The record is from RNAcentral. Lineage: Bacteria; Bacillati; Bacillota; Bacilli; Caryophanales; Paenibacillaceae.